This 604-nucleotide unclassified non-coding RNA is filed under the name Phytopythium vexans. RNAcentral's name for it is "sequence contains ITS1, 5.8S rRNA gene and ITS2". The stretch from base 51 to 205 matches the Rfam family "5.8S ribosomal RNA". The record is from RNAcentral. Lineage: Eukaryota; Oomycota; Peronosporomycetes; Pythiales; Pythiaceae.
AACUGAAGUAUACUGUGGGGACGAAAGUCCUCGCUUUGAAACUAGAUAACAACUUUCAGCAGUGGAUGUYUAGGCUCGCACAUCGAUGAAGAMCGCUGCGAAYUGCGAUACGUAAUGCGAAUUGCAGGAUUCAGUGAGUCAUCGAACUUUUGAACGCAUAUUGCACUUUCGGGUUACGCCUGGAAGUAUGUCUGUAUCAGUGUCCGUACACUAAACUUGCGUCUCUUCCGUCGUGUAGUCGUCGGUUGUUUGAUUGCAGAUGUGAGGUUGUCUCGCGAUGCACCUUUAUUGGAUGGGUUGCGAGUCCCUUUAAAGUCGGACGCGUUUUUUCCGUUUUGUGCUUGAUGGGGUGCGGCUGCGGCCGUGUCUGCUGGCGGGUCCGGUGACCUUUGGCGAUGGCAUGAGAGUGGAUUGCUCGAUUUGCGGUAUGUUAGGCUUCGGCUUUGACAAUGCAGCUUAUUGAGUGUGUUCGCUUGGCUGUUGCUGUAUGGGUGAGCUGGAUGGUCGGUGGGUGCGUUGUUGCGUGUCGUUUUCAUGGAGUGCGUUUCGGUUGUCGUCGCCAUUUGGGAAUUUAAUGUUUUGAGUCUCGAUUCAAUACAUCUCA